AAAAAAAACUUCAAUGAACCGCUCCCUUAUGACUUUGACUGGGUGGAUAAAGUAGACUAUGGCUGUAGUUAUCAUCCUCACACAGAGCGUGAAAUUGUCAUGUUCCUGUUCUCUUUGGUGGGAUUUUUUAUUCUUGGAGAGUAUCUAUGUAACAAAUAUUUACCACGGCACGUUGAGGCGCUGCCUAAACAAUUCCCCUACACCUACUCUCAGGUGGUGACAUACAGAGAUCCAUCAGAGAUACAGAGAACUGUCCAUUACACGUUUGAACCAGCGGAUAGUAAGGAGUGAUGAAAUGUGACAAAAAAACGGACAUUAAUAUGGCUUAUGUGAAUAUUUGAAUGUGUAAAAGUUACGUGUUAUUAAAUAAUAAAUUAAGAAAAGUUAAA
This is a long non-coding RNA of Saccostrea cuccullata (small rock oyster), 389 nucleotides long. RefSeq lists it as uncharacterized. Lineage: Eukaryota; Metazoa; Mollusca; Bivalvia; Ostreida; Ostreidae. The transcript is spliced from 4 exons. The record is from RefSeq and is a predicted model, not a curated record.